UACGUAGGGUGCGAGCGUUGUCCGGAAUUAUUGGGCGUAAAGAGCUUGUAGGCGGUCUGUCGCGUCUGCUGUGAAAAUCCGGGGCUCAACCCCGGACUUGCAGUGGGUACGGGCAGACUAGAGUGUGGUAGGGGAGACUGGAAUUCCUGGUGUAGCGGUGAAAUGCGCAGAUAUCAGGAGGAACACCUGCGGCGAAGGCGGGUUGCUGGGCCGACACUGACGCUGAUGCGCGAAAGCCAGGGGAGCGAACGGG
Molecule: ribosomal RNA, 253 nt
Filed under: uncultured bacterium
Lineage: Bacteria
Description: partial 16S ribosomal RNA
Rfam family: Bacterial small subunit ribosomal RNA
Source: RNAcentral